Molecule: long non-coding RNA, 287 nt
Filed under: Homo sapiens (human)
Lineage: Eukaryota; Metazoa; Chordata; Mammalia; Primates; Hominidae
Description: HSALNT0171151
Source: RNAcentral
GUUACCUGUACUCUAGUCCCUGCGCAGUCCCCGCAGCUCCUGGACAGUGGAUAAAGAGGACCGGGGAGUCACUGGUGCCCAAGGCUCUCUGCCGAAACUGCCUGGACGAUGAUCCGCCGGCCUGGCCAAUAUUAGCAGUCACCACCAAAGCAGGGGGUGCCCUGGCUGUGGCGCUAGGAGGUGGGGGCUAUGUGGAGGUGGUGGGGAGUGGGUGUAGCUUUACUUAGAGUGACACUUGGCAGUUACUUGACACCCUGGAAUGUUGGUGGACGUGGCACUGGUAAAAU